This 78-nucleotide microRNA precursor is filed under the name Tetraodon nigroviridis (spotted green pufferfish). RNAcentral describes it as "miRNA (ENSTNIG00000020238.1)". The record is from RNAcentral. Lineage: Eukaryota; Metazoa; Chordata; Actinopteri; Tetraodontiformes; Tetraodontidae.
CCUGUGUGUGUGUGUGUGUGUGUGUGUGUGUGUGUGUGUGUGUUCCUGAGGGUUUCUGCUCAUGCCACCACAUCCACA